AACGCACGAGACCUGCGGACCUGCGGAGGGAUCAUUAACAUUCAUCUAAAGCCUGAUGGUUGAGGUAAAACUCUCUAUCAGGCUAACCUAUCAACCGUGUCGUCAAAAAAAUACUGUUUAGACUAUUUGUUAGUUUAAAGCAUUAUUUAUAGAGGUAAAAGUCUGUAAAUUUAUGCUAAAACUAAUAGACCAUCUGACCUUUAUAUUGACUUACUAUAUAACUGUAACCUUUUUACUAAG
This 240-nucleotide unclassified non-coding RNA is filed under the name soil metagenome. RNAcentral's name for it is "partial contains 5.8S ribosomal RNA, internal transcribed spacer 2, and large subunit ribosomal RNA". The record is from RNAcentral.